This 491-nucleotide ribosomal RNA is filed under the name uncultured bacterium. Its description in RNAcentral is "partial 16S ribosomal RNA". It matches the Rfam family "Bacterial small subunit ribosomal RNA", at positions 29 to 507 of the family's 1533-position model. The record is from RNAcentral.
GUGAACGCUGGCGGUAGGCCUAACACAUGCAAGUCGAACGGCAGCACAGUAAGAGCUUGCUCUUACGGGUGGCGAGUGGCGGACGGGUGAGGAAUACAUCGGAAUCUACUUUUUCGUGGGGGAUAACGUAGGGAAACUUACGCUAAUACCGCAUACGACCUACGGGUGAAAGCAGGGGAUCUUCGGACCUUGCGCGAUUGAAUGAGCCGAUGUCGGAUUAGCUAGUUGGCGGAGUAAAGGCCCACCAAGGCGACGAUCCGUAGCUGGUCUGAGAGGAUGAUCAGCCACACUGGAACUGAGACACGGUCCAGACUCCUACGGGAGGCAGCAGUGGGGAAUAUUGGACAAUGGGCGCAAGCCUGAUCCAGCCAUACCGCGUGGGUGAAGAAGGCCUUCGGGUUGUAAAGCCCUUUUGUUGGGAAAGAAAAGCAGCAGGUUAAUACCCCGCUGUUCUGACGGUACCCAAAGAAUAAGCACCGGCUAACUUCGUG